GAUGAAGAACGUAGUGAAAAGCGAUAAGUAAUGUGAAUUGCAGAAUCCAGUGAAUCAUCGAAUCUUUGAACGCACAUUGCGCCCGCCAGCAUUCUGGCGGGCAUGCCUGUUCGAGCGUCAUUUCAACCCUCGACCUCCCUUUGGGGAAGUCGGCGUUGGGGACCGGCAGCACACCGCCGGCCCUGAAAUGGAGUGGCGGCCCGUCCGCGGCGACCUCUGCGUAGUAAACCAACUCGCACCGGAACCCCGACGUGGCCACGCCGUAAAACACCCAACUUCUGAACGUUGACCUCGAAUCAGGUAGGACUACCCGCUGAACUUAAGCAUAUCAAUAGCGGAGGA
Molecule: unclassified non-coding RNA, 342 nt
Filed under: soil metagenome
Description: partial contains 5.8S ribosomal RNA, internal transcribed spacer 2, and large subunit ribosomal RNA
Rfam family: 5.8S ribosomal RNA (bases 1-120)
Source: RNAcentral